RNAcentral lists this long non-coding RNA (248 nucleotides) under Lathyrus oleraceus (garden pea). RNAcentral's name for it is "Pisum sativum (pea) long non-coding RNA (PSAT_LNC008896)". Lineage: Eukaryota; Viridiplantae; Streptophyta; Magnoliopsida; Fabales; Fabaceae. The record is from RNAcentral.
UUGAUAUUUCUAUUUUUAUCUAUAUUUAUGUCUUAUGUUUGUUUUAUUUGCAUCUUUUAUUUUUCAGUUAUUUAUUUUUAUUAGUCUAAUAUUUGAUUUUUGUUUUUAUUUUUAUUUUUAUCUUUUAUUUUUACUUUUACAAAAAUUAUGCAAGCCAAUGAUGCUAGGAAAAUCACAAGAGUAAUGCUAUUCAGACCCCUCUAAGCCGAAAGACAAGAGAAGCCCAAACCAAAGGACCAAAAUCUGGC